CCUACGGGGGGCAGCAGUAGGGAAUAUUGCUCAAUGGGGGAAACCCUGAAGCAGCAACGCCGCGUGGAGGAUGAAGGUUUUCGGAUUGUAAACUCCUGUUGUUAGAGAAGAUAAUGACGGUAUCUAACGAAUAAGCACCGGCUAACUCCGUGCCAGCAGCCGCGGUAAUACGGAGGGUGCAAGCGUUACUCGGAAUCACUGGGCGUAAAGAGCGCGUAGGCGGGAUAGCAAGUCAGAUGUGAAAUCCUAUGGCUUAACCAUAGAACUGCAUUUGAAACUGUUAUUCUAGAGUAUGUGAGAGGUAGGUGGAAUUCUUGGUGUAGGGGUAAAAUCCGUAGAGAUAAAGAGGAAUACUCAUUGCGAAGGCGACCUGCUAGAACAUAACCGACGCUGAGGUACGAAGGCCAGGGGAGCGAAAGGGAUUAGAUACCCGGGUAGUC
Molecule: ribosomal RNA, 440 nt
Filed under: uncultured bacterium
Lineage: Bacteria
Description: partial 16S ribosomal RNA
Rfam family: Bacterial small subunit ribosomal RNA
Source: RNAcentral